AUGCCCCUAGAUGUACAGAAAUACUUAUUUGAAAUAACUUUAUAUAAGGCCCAAGCUGAUUCCUACCACAGCAAGCAAAGUAGGGAGAGACUUAAACUAAGAGGGUUUAAAUUAAGCGCUUGGAACAUCUCCUGUAGUCUUUUCCACAGAUCCUUGUGUAACGGCUGUUCACAUUAUACCAUUAUACACAAGGAGAAGACUGAGUUCCCAGAGGUGAAGGGGCUGCUGAUGGUCCAGGUCCUUCAGGUAGCAAGAACUGAGAGAAAAAUAAAACAGAUCCCAGUGUCUCUGAAGACAGCAACAAAUGAAAACAACUCUAUAAUCUAAUGCCUCCGAAACAUACAUACAAGGAGAAAAGGUCAGUUUUCAUGAGAGAGGGAUAAACCACACCAACAAAAAAAUGUAGCUCUGAAUCUUAACGGUCUGCUUCUGUGAGUGUUUACCCUAAAAUAUGGAACAUAGAAUUCUAAAUAAUGUCUUUCAUGUAAAUAGAAUUUUUGCUACUGCACUCAUUCCUCCUUAUCGUCUAUCAUGGCAUCAAAUAUUUGCAAAAUUAAGGUCAUAGAAACCACCCAUUCGUAAACUAGCAACUGACAAAAGUAUGCUUUUUUCACUCAGGCUAAACUAGUUUUCAUGUCAACAGGAUGUUAUUCAAUUAAAAAAUUAUUAAUGGUCUGUUGCUUUUUUAACUGUUCUCUGAAAUUUAAUGGAGAUUAAUAUCUCUUUUGCAGUACUGCUUUGAGAAAACUACGGAAAUAAUAUUGUAUGUAGGCUGUAACAAAUGAGAACUAAUAAAAGAACAGUAUUACCAGAACA
Molecule: long non-coding RNA, 816 nt
Filed under: Struthio camelus australis
Lineage: Eukaryota; Metazoa; Chordata; Aves; Struthioniformes; Struthionidae
Description: lncRNA (ENSSCUG00000000054.1)
Source: RNAcentral